UAGUUCCAUAGCACCCCAUUCCUUGUUUCAUUUUCUUUCCUCACGUCUCUUGCCAAGCCCAUUCGUCCCAUUUUCGUCAGUCAAGGAAGCACACCUAUGUACAACUGUGUUCGCCAUCUCUCUCCUUCAAAAUCACGGUACGAAAAACAGAGCCGAAGGAAAUAUAUGGUAUAAUGAAAACCCUCCAUUCUGUUUUCCGCCUUUCAGCGCGCCAAAUCCCAUUCCUGAUCACGAAGGUGUUUUAAUCUUGUUGUGUUCUCCCCUUUAAAUAUCUUCGACAAACUGUUAGAGAAAAAAGAAAAGGUACUCUCUCUCUCUCUCAUGUGCUCUAAACCCCUACCCUCCCUCAUGUUCUCUAUAGUCGUUUUGCAUCUGAGGCCAAUACCAACGAUUCUUUAGGUUUUUUAAGAAUCAGAAUCGAGUUUUCAUAUUUGAAUGAGUUUAUUGGAAAAAGGAAAAUCGUUGUUUUAACUGUUUUCAGAAUAAGAAGGCAUCGACUGGACUGGUGAGGCAUCUGUGCCCAAAGACUAUGUGAUAUCUUACAUUAUAGUAUCAUCUGGAUCUACUAAUUAUUGGCGUUCUGCUAGGUGGGACUUAGAUUGAGCGACAACCUUAAGCAGGUUUGUGAAGGUUUUAUGACUAUUUCUUUUUAGUAGGUUACAAGCAUCUGCGCUCUUUGGUAAGCGAGUGUUCUGGUGCUAUACCAUUUGCUUAAUUCUCUUAAAAUUUUAAGUUGUCUUUGGUAUUUGGUUAUUUUUCAUGACUUUUUAUUUUUGUCUGAAAUUUCAACCAUCAAUUCAUGCAUAACUCAUCCUUGUUUGGAAUUGAGGAUAAGGAUUCUAUUCUUUAUUUCUAAAUUCUUCUCAUAUGGCUUCUAUUACAAAAAAAAUUUAGAUCUUAAUAAGCAACUUUAACUACAUUGAACAAGAUCUCUAACAUUUAACUUCUACUUCCUGACCAAGAUAUUUAGAUGGACUUUCUAAGACCAUAAUAUUUUGAAUGACAUCAGAUUGCUUGAAUCUUUUUUUUUUUUUUUUUGUUCCAUGUCCCUUUCUAUGAGUGUUUUCAUUUGCCAACCUGAUUAUAACUGCAGGAAGAGAAAUCUUAGGAUGAUUAUGUUUCUUCCCUACGCUUCAUAUUGAGACUAUAUUGCAUAUGUAUUAACUAAGGAUCAUGUUGUGUACCACUAAUUUCUUGAUUUUCAUUUGAACUUGAGUAUCUUGUUAAAAUAAUUGAUUAGUCAUAUAAGUAUUUAUAACUACAACCACAAAUCAUUGUAAUUAAAGGCAAGAGUUGGUGACAGUUAUGUAUUUAAGUUACAUUAUUCCUAAGAGGCGGGGGAGUUAUCAUUUCAUGCAUUCGAUAUUCAGUGGUGAUUAACUGCAUGUAAACAACUAAAUUAAUUUGUAAAUUUAAACUAAAGAGAUUAAUAUUUAUUGCCCUGUUCUACCAUAGGUUAAUGCAUUCAUCAUUUAUAUAAGGGGUGGUGAUAUUGACUACCUUGAAGUAUGUUAUGCCUUUUAUCUCUGCUGUAGUGUUGCUAGUAUGUGAUACCUCACAAGCCCAACUAUUCAAUUCGACUGUAUUUCCAGCAAGACUGGGAAUCCCUUUAGAAUUUCAAGCUGUAGGCUGGGCUGGUUGUGGGCCAGAUUAAUGUUCACAAUACAUUGUACUAUCUAGUCUAGCAUAUCUAAUUUCUUUUCUAUUAGACACUCAACCCUUAAUUUACAUAAAUUUCUUGCUUCAACAUUGAUUUCCUACUAAGCAUUUAAACAUUUCCCGGAACCUGAAGAUAUAGAGUCAUACAUAGUUAAAACGGACUCGUACCCUCUUUAUCCAUGAGGAGCAGCUUAAUUAUCUAAGGUCAUAGGUCUUUAUUGAUAACUGUACUUAUGCAUGGGGAACCUAGUAUAUAAUUUAUUUCUUUGGAAGGACUUCAAUUUAAGAAUUUUUGAAAAGCUUACACAUGUGAGUGGGGUGUUUUUGUUAGACUAUUGUUGUAUAACUAUAUGUUUUAUAUGGAGUAAUGUUAUGCCUCCAAACUGCUACUUGUAUCCCUUUUACACAUUAUACUGAAGAAGCUAUUCUCAUAUUUGAAUAUUUUGUUGACACAAUUAUAAUAGUGCCUCUGUGUAUUCUUUUUGAGAAUCUGGGUUAUGAAGCAGUAAUUUUCUGUCCUACUAACAAUAACCUUAUUUCAUGCUACUUUGUUUUGUCAUUGUUGUUUAUUUUUUCCUUACUUGAUAAUUUUUACUUUGCGAAUUCCAUAAUAUUUUUUUCGUUUCUAGUCUUCCCUCUCUUAAACAAAUAGCUACACAAACUUCCAGAAUAAUAGUAUGAAAUCAAAACCCCAACUCAUAAGAAAACUUUGUUAUAUUUUACAUCUACUUCUUGUUGGUUUAGUACUUUAGUCUUUGGCAGCCCAUUACGGUGUUUGAGGCUAACAUUUUUACUAACACUGGAUUCUUGGCAGUCCACUCACAACAUUAAGUUCAAGUUUAUGGCUUGGCUUGUUGUCCCUUGUCAGUGAACUUCAUGUGGCAGUCAAUUGUUGGAUGUUCAGCAUUUCUUUGUUCCACUAAUACAAGCUCAAUUUCUUUUGUUAAGAGUAUUGUUUAAUGCUUUACGUGUCCUCUCUUUUAUACCUUUUUGUAUAUUUCUUUGAUUAUUCUUCCCUGUUUUCUUAUUGUGUUGCAUCAGGUAAGUAGUUAGCACCUUAAUAUACCUAGCCAACCACUUUUAUAUGGAUCCUUUUGUUUUCUGGUCUUUUUUCUUUAUAACCAACUCCAUUAAGUUGGGAUAAGGCUUAAUUUUUUAUAGUUUGUUGUAUCACCAUUUUCAUUACAAGGAUCUAAGGAACAAAUAGCUUGCGCAAGAUGAAAAGAAAUAUGAAAGGCUUAAGAGAUGUUAGGUGUGACCCAAUUGUUGGGAUAUAAGUAAAAGAUAAAUUAAAUAUAAUUUUACUGGGCAAAAGAGCUGAUUUGAAAAUCAUGUAAGUUUUUGAUAAAUUAGUUUUUAUUUUUUAGGUUGAACUGAAUCCCUCUGAGGGUUCAUAAUUCUCCAAGGAUGGUUCAGGAGGUUGCCGGGGGGGGGGGUGACGCAGGUGAAGAAAUUAUUGUUUCUAACUCGACAGUGGUGGGGAAUUCUUCUCUCCCUGCCAUUGAUAAGUUGCAUUGUGCUAUUAAGGAUGGUUCUCUAACUCGCAUCAAAAUUCCUCAGUCAGCGUAUGAAAAACAAUUGGAACUGCAUCAGUUUACACUGCUGGGGCGUUUGAAUUUCAGAUCGUUGUCCAUGAAUGAUUUACGUGAUUUUGUUAAUAAAUCGUUGACGUUAAAGGAGCAGGUCGUGCUCAAAUCGAUGGGUAAAGGAUUUGUUAUGUUUCAGUUCCAGAAUGAAGCAGAUAUGGCGGCAAUUUGGAAACAUGGUCCUGUACGUGUGGAGGGACUAUAUGUGGAACGACAGGUUGGUUAGGCAGAUUCGUUUAUUUUUAAACAAAAGGUGAUUUUUGAAGAUCCUCCUGUUCGAUGUGUGGUGUGUAGCAAGUAUGGCCAUAGGCCAGAUUAUUGUCCAUCACGAAAGGGGAAAGAGAAGAUGUCAGCAACUUCAAGUGAUGUAGAGAGACCGGUGGUUCAGUGCCGUCGGCAGGAAUGGAGGCCACGGGAAGUUCAAAUGCAGCAGGGAGAGGGGUGUUCCAAUCUUGGAAGGUAGGAUACUAUGGGAUCUCCUACAGCUAGAGGAGGUGAGGUGGUUGCACCAAAUCGGGAAGAUAAUGAGGACACGUCUCUUCCCAUUAAUUUCUCCCCUAGUGGAUUGGUGAAUGGGGCGGCAGGUGGGUUGGACCCAUUGGAUGUGGGUGAUAACCAUAGUGAUUUGCAUGGAGCAGUGGGUGAAGGAAUUAUUGUUGUAGUUCUUGAGGGUAGUCCACAGGAAGUUGCCAAUGCUGGUCAUGUGCGGUGCUCUUCUCCUUUGGUUGAUUGUCACGAUAAUGGGAGGUUGGAAAUUAUCCAUUAUGAUCCAUUAGAGGAUGGGGAGGAUCAAGGAGUUGGAAAUUUUAUUCUAGUUACUCGUAAGAGGUCAAAGAAUGCUCAAGGUGUUGCUGUGGAGAAUUUACAGGGUACUCUUCGACGUAGUAAUCGGGUUAUGGAGAUGACUUUAGUUGACAAUGCGGUUCAAGGGAAUUGCAGAGCAGGGGCGAGUUCAAAUCGGUCCCUGGUUGUGCACAACUCUCAUUUGUUUUUUAAGAAGCUCCUCUUUUGGAAUAUACAAGGUGUAGGUAAUUGCAGAGCGACAGCUGCUUUGCGCUUGAUCAUAAAGGAUCAUAAUCCAAUGGUGGUUUGUCUGGCAGAACCAAAAUGUAGUUUGGACAGGUGUCCUAAAUUAUUUUGUAAUUCUUUGGGAUAUUGUUGUGAUUUUAUUCAUAACUCUGGAGCUGACAAAGUCCCAAAUAUUUGGGUCCUAUGGAAGACUUAGAUAUGGAAAUUGGUGGUGGUUCUCUCUUCAGAUCAACAGGUUUCUAUGUUUGUUGAAGCGUGGGGAUGCAAAUUCUUCCUAUCGAUGGUGCAUGCGAGCUCAUUCAAGGUGAAUAGAUGGCAGCUUUGGUGUGAUUUAUGUACCAUCUCAAGGUCAUCAAUCCCCUAGAUGGUUUUUGGUGAUUUCAAUGCUUGUCUGUUUUUCUCAUGAGAAACAGGGACCUGGUUCGUUCAGUGUUGGGUCGGCAGAGGAAUUUUUGGCUAUGAUGGAUAUGGCUUUGCUGAUUUCUAUCCCGUUGCAUGGCUGUAAAUUCACUUGGUCGAAUAAUAGGCGUGUUGGAAAUGUAAGGCUGCUUUGGACCAGAGUAUGUGAAAUGAGGAGUGGUUGGAUGCCUUUUCUCGUUGUUCACAACACGUGUUGACUCAUAAUUAUUCUGAUCACUCUCCUAUUAUGAUCUCUUGUGAUGACAUUCCUUGUCCAGCAAAUAACCCUUUUAGGAUGCAACGAUUUUGGGUGGAGCAUUCAGAUUUUUUGAAGGUGGUUCGUGAGUCGUGGGAGGUCCCAAUUAGUGGGACACCAAUCUAUGUGGUUGCGGGAAAAUUAAAGAGAAUGAAGAAUCAGUUGAGAAGUUGGGCGGCCUAUGCUUCCCUCAUGCAGAUGUUGAGGUUCAAAAAACCAUAAAAGCUCUUGAUGAGAUUCAAGAAAAUAUUGAGUCAGAGGGUUUUUCUGAUAGUUUGUUUGAUAAGGAAUUGGUAGCCAGGAGUGAUUACUCAAAGGCCUUAGAGCUGCAAGAGAAGAUAUGGUUAGAAAAAUCAAGGAUUCGAUGGUUUCGGGAGGGUGAUCGAAAUUCCAAGUUUUUCCAUGUCCACUAAAUCAAGAGAGGUAGGAAUGUUAUUCGUUCUAUUCAAGGAAGUGAUGGCAAUUUGAUUUCAGAUCCUGUAGCUAUUGGUCAUCAAAUUGCAUCCCAUUUUGAGAAUUUUCAGAAAAAAGAUUCAACAGUUGGCAGGGCAGAGAUUCUCUCGUGUAUUCCUGAGAUUGUUACUUCUAGAGAUAAUACAAUGCUCUUGGCAAUCCCUACAGCUGAGGAAGUUAGAGCGGCGGUGUUUGACUUGGAUCCUUCAAGUGCCCCUGAUCCAGAUGGUUUUUCAGGUACAUUUUAUCGCAAUUGUUGGGAUAUAGUGGGUGGAGAGGUAUGUUUGGCAAUUCAAAAUUUCUUUAGGGAAGGGAUUAUUACAAAAGGGGUUAACUCCAAUUUUAUUUCUCUUAUUCCUAAAGUGGAAUCAGCCUCCAAGGUGACUCAGUUUAGACCCAUUUUUCUUGGGAAUUUCUUUUUUAAGUUAAUUCCUAAGAUUAUUGCUACUCGUGUUUCAACAAUAUUACCUAAGUUGAUUUCAGGAGAACAGGGAGCUUUUCAGAAAGGAAAGAUUAUCUUCCCUAAUAUAUGUGUCGCCUCAGAGUUAGCAAAUAUGAUGCAUGUAAAAUCUUUUAGAGGCAGUCUGGGGUUGACGUUGGACAUAUAGAAAGCAUAUGAUACUUUGGAUCGA
Molecule: long non-coding RNA, 6014 nt
Organism: Macadamia integrifolia
Lineage: Eukaryota; Viridiplantae; Streptophyta; Magnoliopsida; Proteales; Proteaceae
Exons: 2
Source: RefSeq, a predicted model, not a curated record